Molecule: ribosomal RNA, 501 nt
Filed under: Methanosarcinales archaeon
Lineage: Archaea; Methanobacteriati; Methanobacteriota; Methanomicrobia; Methanosarcinales
Description: bacterial SSU rRNA
Rfam family: Archaeal small subunit ribosomal RNA
Source: RNAcentral
GAGGAGCUAGAGGUAUGCCUUGGGGAGCGGUAAAAUGUGAUAAUCCAAGGUAGACCACCUGCGGCGAAGGCGUCUAGCUAGAACGGAUCCGACAGUGAGGAACGAAGGCCAGGGGAGCGAACCGGAUUAGAUACCCGAGUAGUCCUGGCAGUAAACGCUGUGAGCAAGGUGUUGCGCAUCUCACGAGGAUGCGCAGUGUCGAAAGGAAGCUAUUAAGCUCACCGCCUGGGAAGUACGGUCGCAAGACUGAAACUUUAAGGAAUUGGCGGGGGAGCACCACAAGGGGUGCGGCGUGCGGUUUAAUCUAACUCAACGCAGAGAACCUUACUAGAAGCGACGGCAGGAAGAAAGUCAGCCUGAAGGGCUUACUUGACGAGCCGAGAGGUAGUGCAUGGCCGCCGUCAGCUCGUGCCGUAAGGUGUCCAGUUAAGUCUGGCAACGAGCGAGACCUAUACCUGCUAUUGCUAACGGCCAUAUAUGGGACCGAGCACUUUGCAGGGA